This is a long non-coding RNA of Bubalus bubalis (water buffalo), 447 nucleotides long. RefSeq lists it as uncharacterized. The record is from RefSeq and is a predicted model, not a curated record. NCBI's taxonomy places the organism in Eukaryota, Metazoa, Chordata, Mammalia, Artiodactyla, Bovidae. The transcript has 3 exons.
GCUGCCUGCCACGGAGCAGGGUUUCAGCAAGUAUUUGCUGGAUGAGUGAGAGGCUAAGUGGAUGAAUAAAGAUCUAAGUCAGAGUCAAGCUAGGAAUAGUCCGCACCUCAAGGCUCUACCAGCACUAGGAAAGGGUCUACCCAGAGACUGCAGAAGAGAUGAGCCUACAUGAAGAUAUUCAAGGAGACCCAGGGAAGGUGUCUAAGAGGCUGUGAAAGCAUGAAGUCACACGGGCCAUGGCUGUCAGCAGAGGAGCUUCUAGAGGCCACCAGCAUUCCUGGACUUGUGACUUCUUGCAUCUCCAAAGCCAAUAAAGACUGAUCCAGUAUUUCUCACACCUCAUCACUCUGACCUUCUCUGCUGCUCCUCUUUCACUUUUUAAAAUAUAUAUGUAUGUUUGACUGCACUGGGUCUUAGUUGUGAAACGUGGGCUCUUUGUUGUUGCAU